GCGGGCUUGGCCGAAUGGCUAGGCUGCGGCCUUCCAAGCCGUCCAUGCGAGUUCGAUUCUCGCAGCCCGCUCCA
This 74-nucleotide transfer RNA is filed under the name Paraburkholderia silviterrae. RNAcentral's name for it is "Candidatus Paraburkholderia sp. 4M-K11 tRNA-Gly". It matches the Rfam family "tRNA". Rfam says of the family: Transfer RNA (tRNA) molecules are approximately 80 nucleotides in length. Lineage: Bacteria; Pseudomonadati; Pseudomonadota; Betaproteobacteria; Burkholderiales; Burkholderiaceae. The record is from RNAcentral.